CCUUCUCAUUCUCUCGUACGCGAAAUCUUUCUCCCUCAAAACCCUAAAACGAUUUCCUAAUUUUCUUAUUUUCUACUUUCACUUUCCCAAUUUCACUCUUUGCCCCGUGAAAUUCCUCACUCUUCAACAAUGUUUCCAUUUCAAGAUGCUUCUUCUACCCUAACCUCUUCGGCCACCGCUCUCUUUUCUUCUAGCUAUUGCUAUUGCGUGAGAUCUGGGUUAUGACCUCUUUCUCACUCAAAAAUCCUUCAAAUCUGCUGCACGUCGUAAAUCUUCUCCGCUGCAAGUCAUCCUCUUCAUUUUCGCGAUUGAAACCCUAACUCAUUGCCAAAUCGUGUUAUGUUCUGAAUCUCACUAAUCUCUCUCGUGUUCGUGUAGUGUUCUUCGUUUUCACGAUUGAAAACGAAGAGGUUUUCAGAGUAGUAGCAGGUUCUUCGUUCUUUACUUCCUAGGUUUGGGUCUUAAAAAGAUUUAACCUAUGUUUUGUUCCUUUGUUUGUGUUUCUGAGAUCUGGGUUAUGAAGAAACAGGAGAGAGAUUCUAGAUCUCGAAAUGAAUUUCAUUGAAUAUCUAAGGAUUGUUGGUUAUAAUGCAGUUAAUGAGUCCCUUUUAUAUGGGUUUCACUAUGGGUUUUGAAGAUUUUCACUUGAGGUUAGGUUUUGGCAAUGGUUGUGAUGAUAUUUGGGGUGUGGCUGAGCACUCGUCAUGAUGCCUGUGGGAAGUCUCUAACUAUACCUAUGCUAAGCAUUGAAGCUGUUAUUUUCUUAAUGUCAGUUUUUUUACAUUCUUUAUGUUUUGGAGCCUUAUUUUUCUUUUGAAUAUGUUCUUUUACUAUAUUAUCUUAUAUCACAUUUUUUGUUUUGCACACACAGAUUCAUAGUUGGUUUUUUGGGUACCAUGAAAAGAAGCUCCAUAUUGCUAUGGGUUGUAUCCUUGUCAAAUUUUAUAGAGAAUAAUUUUUUGACAUCAAAAUUUGAGGUCAAAUUCAGUGUCCUUAAAUUUUUUGUGUAGUUUUGAAAUGUGUGUAAGUUGUAGAACAUCUUUGUAAGAAAGAGAUAGAGGUAAACACAUACGGUGUCAUAUACGAUGUCUCUAUAUUGAUGUUCAAAUAACACGACUGAUUUUGGAUUAAGGGAAUCCUCCUUGACGUUGCACUUGUAGUAUCUGGUCAUGUUGUUCUUUAUCUUGGUGGGAAUCCUGGUCUUCACAGUAUUGGUGUAAGUGUUGAAUUUUGUUGACAGUUAUUGCCGCUUUGACGUUAUCUUUUCUUGUGAUUGCUUAUUGCCUUUGCCAUGAAAUCAUGAGUUGAGUCUUAAUAACACAAAGUCACAUUCGAAACGCCAGACCAACUUAAUUGCUACUGGUUUGAUCAUUUUUUUGAUUUACUUUGAUUUUGGAUGCUUGUUUCGAUCCUUGUGUAAUCUUCUGCCAUUGUUUCAGAUUCAUUGUAACUAAUAAUGGAUCAGGUCAUAGUGUGACUGGCUUGAGGUAAGGAGUCAAUUAUUUCAUUCAUGUAAACAAUGUAUGCUUAGGUACAAGGAAUUUCAACUUCAAGAUUAUAGCUCUUGGUUUCUCAAAGAGGGACUUGGGUCGUAUCGUGAUACGGGAUUUUUGCUUUAUGGGCCUCCAAGUUGUGGCAGAACACAGAUUGCCAAAACUGUUACUAGUGAGGCGGGAGCUAAUUUUAUUUAUAUUAAGGUGAUGAUGUAGUACACUGCAAGUAUGGAGAGAAAUCUGCACAAUCCUUAAGCUCAGCAGGAUUUCGAUAUGUUGCAUUCAAAUCCUAUGAAGGGAUUGGUCAUUACACAGUUCCAAGAGAGAUGGGUGAAGUUUCCACCUGGCUUAGUUCAAGAUAAGCUUGCAGAAUAUGGUAAGAGGCCUAUGGAGUAGUAGAUGAUGAUGUGCUUGCAGUGCUCCUUAAUUUCACAUGUUUUGUAUUUUGUAUCAUGACUUGUGACAAUUAUGUAUUAAGACUAUGGUAUCAGUACUAUUUCAAUGUUAAGUACCUUGAAUGCA
This is a long non-coding RNA of Trifolium pratense (red clover), 2015 nucleotides long. RefSeq lists it as uncharacterized. The transcript is spliced from 6 exons. The record is from RefSeq and is a predicted model, not a curated record. NCBI's taxonomy places the organism in Eukaryota, Viridiplantae, Streptophyta, Magnoliopsida, Fabales, Fabaceae.